This 646-nucleotide ribosomal RNA is filed under the name uncultured Actinomycetes bacterium. RNAcentral describes it as "bacterial SSU rRNA". It matches the Rfam family "Bacterial small subunit ribosomal RNA", at positions 231 to 886 of the family's 1533-position model. Lineage: Bacteria; Bacillati; Actinomycetota; Actinomycetes. The record is from RNAcentral.
UCGCGGCCUAUCAGCUUGUUGGUGGGGUAGUGGCCUACCAAGGCGACGACGGCUAGCCGGCCUGAGAGGGUGACCGGCCACACUGGGACUGAGACACGGCCCAGACUCCUACGGGAGGCAGCAGUGGGGAAUAUUGCACAAUGGGCGAAAGCCUGAUGCAGCGACGCCGCGUGAGGGAUGACGGCCUUCGGGUUGUAAACCUCUUUCAGCACGGAAGAAGCGAAAGUGACGGUACGUGCAGAAGAAGCGCCGGCUAACUACGUGCCAGCAGCUGCGGUAAUACGUAGGGCGCAAGCGUUGUCCGGAAUUAUUGGGCGUAAAGAGCUCGUAGGCGGUUUGUCGCGUCUGCUGUGAAAGCCCGGGGCUUAACCCCGUGGUGUGCAGUGGGUACGGGCAGACUAGAGUGCAGUAGGGGAGACUGGAAUUCCUGGUGUAGCGGUGAAAUGCGCAGAUAUCAGGAGGAACACCGAUGGCGAAGGCAGGUCUCUGGGCUGUUACUGACGCUGAGGAGCGAAAGCAUGGGGAGCGAACAGGAUUAGAUACCCUGGUAGUCCAUGCCGUAAACGUUGGGCACUAGGUGUGGGGGACAUUCCACGUUUUCCGCGCCGUAGCUAACGCAUUAAGCGCCCCGCCUGGGGAGUACGGA